Molecule: ribosomal RNA, 274 nt
Filed under: uncultured bacterium
Lineage: Bacteria
Description: partial 16S ribosomal RNA
Rfam family: Bacterial small subunit ribosomal RNA
Source: RNAcentral
AUACGGAGGGUGCAAGCGUUAAUCGGAAUUACUGGGCGUAAAGCGUACGUAGGCGGCUCGUUAAGUUAGAUGUGAAAGCCCCGGGCUUAACCUGGGAACUGCAUUUAAAACUGGCGAACUAGAGUUGAGUAGAGGGGAGUGGAAUUUCAGGUGUAGCGGUGAAAUGCGUAGAGAUCUGAAGGAACACCAGUGGCGAAGGCGACUCCCUGGACUCGAACUGACGCUGAGGUACGAAAGCGUGGGUAGCAAACGGAAGUAGAUACCCUAGUAGUCC